RNA transcript from Pecten maximus, 2358 nucleotides. It is a transcript of the gene named thrombospondin-2-like, with no coding region annotated. The transcript has 5 exons. The record is from RefSeq and is a predicted model, not a curated record. NCBI's taxonomy places the organism in Eukaryota, Metazoa, Mollusca, Bivalvia, Pectinida, Pectinidae.
UUGGCUUUAGCGGACAGUUGAAAAUUGAGUGAAAAACUAUACUACUGUAUAUAAGUGAAUGCUUUGCUACUCAGUAAUAUACUAACACUUAACGUGUUACAGCUACCUAUACCGCAAGAUACCAAGAUGGACUUCAGAGUUGUGUUAUUUUUAGUCUGUGUCUGGAUGGCUAGCAUUCCGACAAAUGUGAAAGGUAUGCGCACGGAAAAGCUGCAUGAGCGCACCUAUUGCACGUUUCACUGUAGCCAUGGUUAUAUUAUGAAGUUGAAUUUUGCCACCUGGUACGACUGUUCAAUGUAUAAUGUAACAUCCUCGUUAGCGGGCUAUCUUGAUGGUGUUAACUCCCGAGAACUGUACCUACAAGAUAGUACCUUUGGGCUAAACGACACUGGCUGUUAUGGAUACCUCAUUGCUGACUGGGAUUGUGGACAAAACGGCGGGUGGAGUACGUGGUCAAGCUGGGCUGACUGUCCGGUAAUUUGUGGCAAUGCAUCGGUAUCCAGAUCACGGUCGUGUAACAACCCGUCGUGGGUGAGCCCUGGAUCUGACUGCCCUGGGUCUGCUACCGAGACGCAAUCCUGUAAUACAACAAUUUGUGAAGGUAUGUACCUUAAUUAUGGACUACCCCGUCGAUUUGAUUCGCAUGUUUAAAGAUAGAUAGAUAUUAAAAAAUACGCUGUGACAACGGAGCUAUCGGGCAUAUCGUAUUCUCCCUUCAUUUACGUUUUUCUCACGUCAGUCAUUUACAGUUUUACCUGUUCGAGAUUUCUAGGUCACCCCUUUCCACUCCCAAUCGAAACAAAUUGCGCAUUCUUAUCUCAACUGAAUGCCGCCAUAGCGACGGUAAAAUGACGUUGUAUCGACGAUUUAAUCACGUCAUGGCAGCAUUUUGUUGUAUUGCAUUUUUGUUAGAUAUUUGAACUGGGCCAUACGUAUAUAAAAAUAGGAUGAUAGUAAGAGACAGACAAAGAAAUCCCCAACUUGGAUAAAAUUCUUUAUAGUCUAACCCUCAGCUGGAUAUAUCUGUCUCAUUCUCAAGGAGGAGUAGUUUCCUUUAAUCAAACAAACACCGAGCAGAUCAGUUCCAUGUCACACAAGGACAAUCAGAUCGUAAUACAAAACUUGUAUGAUAAUCGUGAUGCUAUUUCCUUGAUACAAUUUUAAUGUUGUUCUACUCCAGUUCCACCAGCGAGCUGUAUUACAUAUCAUAAAGGAUUCGACAUUUAAGGCCUUGUUUUCAGGUUAAUCGACUUCUACCGGCUGCUGAAUGGAAAACUUACAUCAUAUGAUUUUUUGUUUUGAUAGAUGCACGCUCUGUAUAAUAUUACCUUGGGUAUAGCUUUACCUAUUCGAUUUUCCAAUAUACAUAUGCCUAAUAUAUCCGUUGUCACUGGUAGUUAGUAGUGAGACCUUCGUUUCAAACUGGGUUUCCACAAGCCUUUAAAUCUUCCCUGGCAUUUCGCUGUUACAGGUAGAACUGUACACAUCAUAUUUUGAUAGCGAAAUGCUGGUCUAGUUUUGACAUCAUUUGAAAGAUAAAAUAAGAAUGUAUAAUGCAUAGCCAACUCUUUGUCAUCGGGUGUACUUUGUGCACACUUUCCAAACGCGUGUAGAUUUCGGAGACUUGUGUGAAUACGCUGACAGUCACAAGCUACAUCCCUGUCACCCCUCCUCUAACUGUCAUCCCGGAGCUAAUCGACGCACUGCUCUUACUCAGGACAAGGUAUGGAUUUUGCUCGCCAGUCCAUGAGCUACAAAGACGACUUGGAUUCAUGACAGCAAGAUUUAGUAUUCCAGUCAUCCGGAACGACAUAAGCGCCGCUGGUAAACAUACGAUGGAUUCUGCUACUACUCACCAAAUUCUUCACCUACUUGCAAGCUGCGUUGAUCGGUGAUGUGGAAUACUGGAAACAUAUUUUUUCAGUGGAAUGUAUUGACAAACAUUGUGUUUUACCAUGACCUUACAUUUCAAUUAUUGUGUAGGUAUGGUGUCAUCAGAAGUCAUUCGUAUGGACAUCUUAUCAAAACAGACAUCAGGAAAUCAUAUUCGUGAAAUCAUAAGUGAAAGACAAUGUGACAUGACAGAUGCAUUUUGUUAUGUUGACAAUAUCAGAGUGAUUCGUGACGUCAUUCAUUAGACUAAUCCAGCUUCUGGAAACGCUUUCAUAUCACAGUUGUGUAAUGCGGAAUGGAGAGUAAACGAACUAAAAACAAGAAAAGGAACAAAAUUGCUUGUAACAUAAUUUAAUCUGUGAGUCGUAUUAAGGAUUGGUUUCACAAAACAUUGUAAAUAAGAUUUAAAAUGAAAAACUUAUUGUAGAUGUAUGUUGUAAUAAAACAACAAAUAUCGAUAUUUUA